RNAcentral lists this long non-coding RNA (392 nucleotides) under Canis lupus familiaris (dog). Its description in RNAcentral is "lncRNA (ENSCAFG00040009611.1)". Lineage: Eukaryota; Metazoa; Chordata; Mammalia; Carnivora; Canidae. The record is from RNAcentral.
CAGCCUUUUGGCUGCCUAACAGGUGUACAUUUCAAGAUAACUUCAUUCUGUUGCCUCAAAAUUCUUCAGUUGGAAAAACAUAUUGUUGAAACUUACAUGUUCUGUGAAGAAUGGACAAGAUAUAAUGGCUACAGUGCAAAAAUACUUCAAGAAAUGUUGGAGAGGCCAUUUCCCCAAAGGAAGCAGCAUCUAUUUUAAGACACUUCCAUAUUCAGCCAUUUUAAGUUUGUAGGAGAAAACGAAUUUUUCUUCAUCUAUUGUCCAGGUCUAUAGACAGGACCUACUUUUGGACCAAUAACAAAUAAAGUAAGCAAAGUUUUCUUCCCCUUUACUUUAUUUUAAUAUCUUAUCUGACUAUCACCUUGCCCUGGAGGCCCUUUCCACCAUAGUGU